AGUGAACGCUGGCGGUAGGCCUAACACAUGCAAGUUGAACGGCAGCACAGUAAGAGCUUGCUCUUACGGGUGGCGAGUGGCGGACGGGGGAGGAAUACAUCGGAAUCUACUUUUUCGUGGGGGAUAAAGUAGGGAAACUUACGCUAAUACCGCAUACGACCUACGGGUGAAAGCAGGGGAUCUUCGGACCUUGCGCGAUUGAAUGAGCCGAUGUCGGAUUAGCUAGUUGGCGGGGUAAAGGCCCACCAAGGCGACGAUCCGUAGCUGGUCUGAGAGGAUGAUCAGCCACACUGGAACUGAGACACGGUCCAGACUCCUACGGGAGGCAGCAGUGGGGAAUAUUGGACAAUGGGCGCAAGCCUGAUCCAGCCAUACCGCGUGGGUGAAGAAGGCCUUCGGGCUGUAAAGCCCUUUUGUUGGGAAAGAAAAGCAGCAGGUUAAUACCCCGCUGUUCUGACGGUACCCAAAGAAUAAGCACCGGCUAACUUCGUG
Molecule: ribosomal RNA, 492 nt
Filed under: uncultured bacterium
Lineage: Bacteria
Description: partial 16S ribosomal RNA
Rfam family: Bacterial small subunit ribosomal RNA
Source: RNAcentral